RNAcentral lists this long non-coding RNA (3750 nucleotides) under Ananas comosus (pineapple). RNAcentral's name for it is "long non-coding RNA (ACOM_LNC013488)". The record is from RNAcentral. Lineage: Eukaryota; Viridiplantae; Streptophyta; Magnoliopsida; Poales; Bromeliaceae.
UGGUACUAUUGAGUUUUCGGCCAUUGGAUGAAAGGAUGUGCGGUUAGGAUGAUAGUGGUCCCCUAGGGUUGAGUGGGUAGUUGAUUUAAUAGUAUAAUCUAACGGGUGGAAAUGAUCAAAGGGUAGAUCUAAUGGUAGAAAACUCAAAAGUACCAAUGGCUUGGUACUAUCGAUAGUAUAAUAACCGGACUCUAUAUAUAUGUAUAUACGGCUGGAAUGCUAUUAAUAGUACUAAGCACUUCGUGCCAUCUUGGUCAGUUCCAUCCCUUCGAUCAUGCUAUUCUACAACCCACCUACUAAAGCCUAGGGGGACCACCGCUAAACUCUAGGGGACCACUAUCAUCCCAACACUACAAUUUUUCAUCUAAGGUUGUAAACUUUAGUAGUAAAAAUGAUCAAAUACAAUUAAUAGUAUUCCAGUACAACACCAUAUAUACACAAACAUAUAUACACACGUAUAUACACGCAUAUAUACACGCGCGCACACGUAUACGUAUAUAUAUAGAAUUGAGCUCCUAUACUUUUAAAAGUAUCAAGUCAUUCUUGCUUGUCGGUUUUCGGCCCUUGGAUUAAGGGAUGUACGAUUGGGAUGACAGUGGUCCCCUAGGGAUAUAUAUAUAUAUAUAUAUAGAAUUAGGGUACUAUACUAUCUAUAGUAUUGGAGCUCCGGUACUAUAGUCUCAUUUUUUAUUUUAGGAUGUUCAAAUCAAUGAUCCACACCGUCAAAUAUAAUCUAGGGUGAAGUUCUUAGAAUAAAAUUUUAAUUUUUUUCAAUAUCGUUUACUUAGUAAGUAAAUCAUGUCAAAAUAAACGGUGAAAAUUGAACAAUCUUUAAAAUUUGAGAAUAGGACUUUUGAAUUCAAGAUCAAGUAUGCUGACCUUGAUCUAUAUAGUUUAAAGUAUUUUCUAUCAAAAUUUGAAUAAAUUUAAAUUCUUUUACAUUGUUAAGUUACGAACUCGCCAUAGUAGCCAUUGAAAAUUGACUAGUUUGAAAUGCUUUGAUCAUAAAGUAAACUAUGUCGAAAAAAUAUAAAAUUUUGUUUCUAAAAACUCCAAAUAUUUUAGAUCAGUUUUAACAGUGUGGAUCAUUGAUUUCAAUACCUAAGAUUGAAAACGGGACUAUAGUACCGGAGCCCCGGUACUAUAGAUAGUAUAGGAGCUUAGCUCUAUAUGUAUAUGUAUAUGCAUAUAUCAUGCACAAUAGGUCCAAUGAACAAAAAAGCUUGAUCACAGGGCUCAAAACAUAUAACCAUCUCUCCAAAUAGACGAUCGACACUGUUGAACAUGAUCUAGACCAUUUAAGCUAAUUUGGAAAUCAAAUUUCAUGCUUUUCGGAUAUUAUUUCUUAUCCAUCAAGUGGACACAAAAAUGAACGGAUGAAAAUUAAUAUCCUUUUAAAAGUGGUGAUAGGAGUCUUGUAAUCAAGAUCAAGCAUUUAUAUCUUGUUUUAAGUAGUUUAAAGAAUUUUUUAACUAAAAUUCAAUUGAUUUAGAUAUCUUUGUGCCGUUAAAUUAGAAAACACUUCAUAUCGACCAUGAAAAUUAUAAAUUUUUAAACUCUUUGACCAUUAGGUCAAUGACGUCGAAAAGAUUUGAAAUUUGGUUCUAAGAUAUUUUAAAUGGUAUAGAUCAUGUACAAUGGUGUCGAUCGUCGAUUUGGAAACUCCAUCAUCGAAAACAAAUCGGUAGCANAUAUAUAUAUAUAUAUAUAUAGAAUUAGAGUACUAUAUUAUCUAUAGUAUUGGAGCUCCGGUACUAUAGUCUCAUUUUUUAUCUUAGGAUGUUCAAAUCAAUGAUCCACAUCGUCAAAUAUAAUCUAGGGUGAAGUUCUUAGCAAUAAAAUUUUAAUUUUUUUCAAUAUCGUUUACUUAGUAAGUAAAUCAUGUCAAAAUAAACGGUGAAAAUUGAACAAUCUUUAAAAUUUGAGAACAGGACUUUUGAAUUCAAGAUCAAGUAUGCCGACCUUGAUCUAUAUAGUUUAAAGUAUUUUCUAUCAAAAUUUGAAUAAAUUUAAAUUCUUUUACAUUGUUAAGUUAACGAACUCGCCAUAGUAGCCAUUGAAAAUUGACUAGUUUGAAAUGGUUUGAUCAUAAAGUAAACUAUGUCGAAAAAAUAUAAAAUUUUGUUUCUAAAAACUUCAAAUAUUUUAGAUCAGUUUUAACCGUGUGGAUCAUUGAUUUCAAUACCUAAGAUUGAAAACGGGACUAUAGUACCGGAGCCCCGGUACUAUAGAUAGUAUAGGAGCUUAGCUCUAUAUGUAUAUGUAUAUGCAUAUAUCAUGCACAAUAGGUCCAAUGAACAAAAAAGCUUGAUCACAGGGCUCAAAACAUAUAACCAUCUCUCCAAAUAGACGAUCGACACUGUUGAACAUGAUCUAGACCAUUUAAGCUAAUUUGGAAAUCAAAUUUCAUGCUUUUCGGAUAUUAUUUCUUAUCCAUCAAGUGGACACAAAAAUGAACGGAUGAAAAUUAAUAUCCUUUUAAAAGUGGUGAUAGGAGUCUUGUAAUCAAGAUCAAGCAUUUAUAUCUUGUUUUAAGUAGUUUAAAGAAUUUUUUAACUAAAAUUCAAUUGAUUUAGAUAUCUUUGUGCCGUUAAAUUAGAAAACACUUCAUAUCGACCAUGAAAAUUAUAAAUUUUUAAACUCUUUGACCAUUAGGUCAAUGACGUCGAAAAGAUUUGAAAUUUGGUUCUAAGAUAUUUUAAAUGGUAUAGAUCAUGUACAAUGGUGUCGAUCGUCGAUUUGGAAACUCCAUCAUCGAAAACAAAUCGGUAGCAACGGAGUCUGUUUGCUACUAAUAACAUUCCAGCUCAAAUCUGUAUAUAGAUACACACACAAAUAUACACACAUAUAUGUAUAUGUAUAUGCAUCUAUCAUGCACAAUAGGUCCAAUGGCCAAAAAGCUUGAUCCAAGGGCUCAAAACUUAUAAAUCAAGAACUUGAUGCAUCUAAAAGCAUUCCAAUUCAGUACUAUAUAUAUAUAUAUAGUCCAGCUAGAAUACUAUCAAAAGUGUGUUAAUAGCGCCUACUAUAAACUUCUUAUCCUUUGGAUCCAUAAUAAUACCACCACCAAAUAGUAAAACCUAGUCAUCCAAGAGCUAAAAAGUCUAUAUGUAUACUAUUAGUACUCUGGCUCAAUACUCUCNCUCUCUGGGCAUUUUCGCAGUGAGGGACCGGUCCCAGCUCGGGAAGACCGGUCCCCGAAGGCUGCCAUUUCGAGCAGAGGGAAUUUCGCGUUCGGGAACCGGUUCUUGCUUGAGAGACCGGUCCCCGGGAGACCGGUCUUUGUCCGAGAGACCGGUUCCCGAGAGCUGAGUUUUCGGGACUUAGCCGAUUUUCGGCUAUUUUCGCUGGGCCAACGUUCGGGAACCGGUCCCUUACCACCAGGGACCGGUCUCAUCAGAGACCCCCGCAGCCCAGCCUGAUGGAACCGGUCCCUCCCUGCCAGGGACCGGUCCCCGAGAGCAUUUCUGCUCCAGUGCAAGUUUUGCACUUGGUGCUCUCGCGGGCCCUUCCUUAAUGCACUUUAUGCAUUAUAAACACCUUCGGACUUUCCGAAGCCUACGCACUCGACAACUAGUUGAUUCUGGUCGAAGUCUAAUUCUCGAGUUUCGAGAAUUCACUUCCUUACAAAAAGUGUGUUAAUAGCGCCUACUAUAAACUUCUUAUCCUUUGGAUCCAUAAUAAUACCACCACCAAAUAGUAAAACCUAGUCAUCCAAGAGCUAAAAAGUCUAUAUGUAUACUAUUAGUA